RNAcentral lists this ribosomal RNA (471 nucleotides) under uncultured bacterium. RNAcentral's name for it is "bacterial SSU rRNA". It matches the Rfam family "Bacterial small subunit ribosomal RNA", at positions 20 to 518 of the family's 1533-position model. The record is from RNAcentral.
UGGCUCAGGAUGAACGCUGGCGGCGUGCCUAACACAUGCAGUCGAGCGAUUCACUUCGGUGAAGAGCGGCGGACGGGUGAGUAACGCGUGGGUAACCUGCCUCAUACACAUGGAUAACAUACCGAAAGGUAUGCUAAUACAGGAUAAUAUAAGAGAUUCACAUGUAUUUCUUAUCAAAGCUCCGGCGGUAUGAGAUGGACCCGCGUCUGAUUAGCUAGUUGGUAAGGUAACGGCUUACCAAGGCGACGAUCGGUAGCCGACCUGAGAGGGUGAUCGGCCACAUUGGAACUGAGACACGGUCCAAACUCCUACGGGAGGCAGCAGUGGGGAAUAUUGCACAAUGGGCGAAAGCCUGAUGCCAGCAACGCCGCGUGAGUGAUGAAGGCCUUCGGGUCGUAAAACUCUGUCCUCAAGGAAGAUAAUGACGGUACUUGAGGAGGAAGCCCCGGCUAACUACGUGCCAGCAGCCGC